GAUUAUUCAACUCUCCUUCCUUCAAAGUGCUGCUUAUCUGAGCAAUCAUGGCUUCUGCGGCAAUGUUGAAUGCACCUUGUAAUAUUGGAGCUGUAAAGUUUGAGGUGAAACUGAAGCCAUCGCCAAAUUUGUUUUGUGCACGGCCUUCUGUUAAGUUGAAUCAAAGGAGGGUGUUAACCAUUAGAGCUAGCAAGGAAGGGCAUGAUAAUGGGUCUAGCUCAGGGCCCUUGAGAAAGAUGGGGUUGACUGAUGAGGAGUGUGAGGCUGCUGUAGUUGCCGGAAAUGUACCUGAAGCUCCUCCGGUUCCACCAAAGCCGGCUGCACCUGACGGUACCCCUAUUGUGUCUUCACUGCCAAUUAAUAGGAGACCACGCCGUAAUCGUAGGUCGUCAGCAGCAAGAGCUGCAUUCCAGGAAACAAAUAUAAGCCCUGCAAAUCUUGUAUAUCCACUAUUUAUUCAUGAGGGUGAAGAGGACACACCUAUUGGAGCAAUG
RNAcentral lists this unclassified non-coding RNA (494 nucleotides) under Hevea brasiliensis (rubber tree). Lineage: Eukaryota; Viridiplantae; Streptophyta; Magnoliopsida; Malpighiales; Euphorbiaceae. The record is from RNAcentral.